GUCAGGUUGGCCGAGCGGUCUAAGGCGUCAGACUCAAGAUCUGAUUCCCGUAAGGGAGCGUGGGUUUGAACCCCACACCUGACA
Non-coding RNA from Zootermopsis nevadensis, 84 nucleotides. Lineage: Eukaryota; Metazoa; Arthropoda; Insecta; Blattodea; Termopsidae. The record is from Rfam.